Molecule: ribosomal RNA, 495 nt
Filed under: Pleurocordyceps nipponica
Lineage: Eukaryota; Fungi; Ascomycota; Sordariomycetes; Hypocreales; Polycephalomycetaceae
Description: SSU rRNA
Rfam family: Eukaryotic small subunit ribosomal RNA
Source: RNAcentral
AUAGCAAUUACACGGCGAAACUGCGAAUGGCUCAUUAUAUAAGUUAUCGUUUAUUUGAUAGCACAUUACUACUUCGAUAACCGUGGUAAUUCUAGAGCUAAUACACGCUAAAAAUCCCGACUUCGGAAGGGAUGUAUUUAUUAGAUUAAAAACCAAUGCCCUCUGGGCUCUCUGGUGAAUCAUGAUAACUGCUCGAAUCGCAGGGCCUCGUGCCGGCGAUGGUUCAUUCAAAUUUCUUCCCUAUCAACUUUCGAUGUUUGGGUAUUGGCCAAACAUGGUUACAACGGGUAACGGAGGGUUAGGGCUCGACCCCGGAGAAGGAGCCUGAGAGACGGCUACUACAUCCAAGGAAGGCAGCAGGCGCGCAAAUUACCCAAUCCCGACACGGGGAGGUAGUGACAAUAAAUACUGAUACAGGGCUCUUUCGGGUCUUGUAAUUGGAAUGAGUACAAUUUAAAUCCCUUAACGAGGAACAAUUGGAGGGCAAGUCUGUGC